This 454-nucleotide ribosomal RNA is filed under the name uncultured bacterium. RNAcentral describes it as "partial 16S ribosomal RNA". It matches the Rfam family "Bacterial small subunit ribosomal RNA", at positions 28 to 507 of the family's 1533-position model. The record is from RNAcentral.
GAUGAACGCUGACAGAAUGCUUAACACAUGCAAGUCAACUUGAACUUCGGUUUGGGUGGCGGACGGGUGAGUAACGCGUAAAGAACUUGCCUCACAGAUAGGGACAACAUUUGGAAACGAAUGCUAAUACCUGAUAUUAUGAUUAUAUGGCAUCGUAUAAUUAUGAAAGCUAUAUGCGCUGUGAGAGAGCUUUGCGUCCCAUUAGCUAGUUGGAGAGGUAACGGCUCACCAAGGCGAUGAUGGGUAGCCGGCCUGAGAGGGUGAUCGGCCACAAGGGGACUGGGACACGGCCCUUACUCCUACGGGAGGCAGCAGUGGGGAAUAUUGGACAAUGGACCAAGAGUCUGAUCCAGCAAUUCUGUGUGCACGAUGAAGUUUUUCGGAAUGUAAAGUGCUUUCAGUUGGGAAGAAAAAAAUGACGGUACCAACAGAAGAAGAGACGGCUAAAUACGUG